AACGAACGCUGGCGGCAGGCUUAACACAUGCAAGUCGAACGGAUCCUUCGGGAUUAGUGGCAGACGGGUGAGUAACGCGUGGGAACGUACCCUUUGCUACGGAAUAACUCAGGGAAGCUUGAGCUAAUACCGUAUGUGCCCUACGGGGGAAAGAUUUAUCGGCAAAGGAUCGGCCCGCGUUGGAUUAGCUAGUUGGUGGGGUAAUGGCCUACCAAGGCGACGAUCCAUAGCUGGUCUGAGAGGAUGAUCAGCCACACUGGGACUGAGACACGGCCCAGACUCCUACGGGAGGCAGCAGUGGGGAAUAUUGGACAAUGGGCGCAAGCCUGAUCCAGCCAUGCCGCGUGAGUGAUGAAGGUCUUAGGAUUGUAAAGCUCUUUCACCGGUGAAGAUAAUGACGGUAGCCGGAGAAGAAGCCCCGGCUAACUUCGUG
Molecule: ribosomal RNA, 433 nt
Filed under: uncultured bacterium
Lineage: Bacteria
Description: partial 16S ribosomal RNA
Rfam family: Bacterial small subunit ribosomal RNA
Source: RNAcentral